Molecule: ribosomal RNA, 1360 nt
Filed under: metagenome
Description: bacterial LSU rRNA
Rfam family: Bacterial large subunit ribosomal RNA
Source: RNAcentral
GGCUUAGAAGCAGCCACUCAUUAAAAGAGUGCGUAAUAGCUCACUGGUCGAGUGACUCUGCGCCGAAAAUUUAACGGGGCUAAACUAUACACCGAAGCUUGGGAUACAUCUAAUGUAUGGUAGGAGAGCGUUCUGUAUGGGGAGAAGUCGUAGCGAAAGCGGCGGUGGACUGUACAGAAGUGAGAAUGCCGGAAUAAGUAGCGAGAAUUAAGUGAGAAUCUUAAUGGCCGAAAGUCUAAGGUUUUUGGAGGAAGGUUCGUCCGCUCCAAGUAAGUCGGGAGCUAAGGUCAGGCCGAAAGGCGUAGCCGAUGCACAUACGGUUGAUAUUCCGUAACCAUCUGUAAUUUAAGCAAAGGGACACUUCAAAAGGGUGUGACCCGGGCGUUGGUUGACCCGGGCGUAAGGGACCGAAAUUAGAGUAGGGAAGCAUACUUAGCUGAAGGCGAGAAAAGCUUUGCGUAUAGAAACAGAUGCCCGUACCGCAAACCGACACAGGUGGACAGGAAGAGAAUUCUAAGGCCAGCGGGAGAAGGGUAGUUAAGGAACUCGGCAAAUUGACUCCGUAACUUCGGAAUAAGGAGUGCUCGAAAGAGCCGCAGAGAAUAGGCCCAGGCGACUGUUUAGCAAAAACACAGGUCUCUGCUAAAUCGAAAGAUGACGUAUAGGGGCUGACGCCUGCCCGGUGCCGGAAGGUUAAGAGGAGAGCUUAGCGCAAGCGAAGGUUCGAAUUGAAGCCCCGGUAAACGGCGGCCGUAACUAUAACGGUCCUAAGGUAGCGAAAUUCCUUGUCAGGUAAGUUCUGACCCGCACGAAUGGCGUAAUGAUUUGGGCACUGUCUCAACAGCCCGCCCGGCGAAAUUGUAGUACUGGUGAAGAUGCCAGUUACCCGCAACUAGACGGAAAGACCCCAUGGAGCUUUACUGCAGCUUAAUACUGAAAUUCGGUAGUACAUGUACAGGAUAGGUGGGAGACUGAGAAAUACAGGCGUCAGCUUGUAUGGAGUCGCUGUUGGGAUACCACUCUUGUACUGCUGGGUUUCUAACCUGCGGCCGUGAAUCCGGUCGGGGGACACUGUUAGGCGGGCAGUUUGACUGGGGCGGUCGCCUCCAAAAGAGUAACGGAGGCGCUCAAAGGUUCGUUCAGCACGGACGGAAAUCGUGCAAUGAGUGUAAACGCAUAAACGAGCCUAACUGCGACACCGACGGGUGGAGCAGUAACGAAAGUUGGAGUUAGUGAUCCGGUGGUAUGUGAGUGGAAAUGCCAUCGCUCAACGGAUAAAAGCUACCCUGGGGAUAACAGGCUGAUCUCCCCCAAGCGUCCACAGCGACGGGGAGGUUUGGCACCUCGAUGUCGGCUCGUC